This is a long non-coding RNA of Ipomoea nil (Japanese morning glory), 79 nucleotides long. RefSeq lists it as uncharacterized. The record is from RefSeq and is a predicted model, not a curated record. The transcript has 3 exons. NCBI's taxonomy places the organism in Eukaryota, Viridiplantae, Streptophyta, Magnoliopsida, Solanales, Convolvulaceae.
GCUGAGUUGGGUAAGAAAAAUGUUGGAGAAGUCUUUAAUUUAUAGAGUGAAACUAUGGAUUGUAGGUGUUGUAUGUGUA